AGAGUUUGAUCCUGGCUCAGGAUAAACGCUGGCGGCAGGCUUUACACAUGCAAGUCGAGCGAUGAUUAAUUUGUAGCAAUACAAGUUAUGAUUAGCGGCGAACGGGUGAGUAACGCGUAAGAACUUCCUCUAAGUGGAACAUAGCUAGUCGAAAGAUUAGGUAAUUUUCCAUGUGACCGUAAGGUUAAAGCAGUAAUGCGCUUAGAGCGAGGCUUGCGUCCCAUCAGCUAGUUGGUAAGGUAAAAGCUUACCAAGGCUAAGACGGGUAGCUGGUCUGAGAGGACGAUCAGCCACACUGGAACUGAGACACGGUCCAGACACCUACGGGUGGCAGCAGUGGGGAAUUUUCGGCAAUGGGGGCAACCCUGACCGAGCCAUGCCGCGUGCAGGAUGACAGCCUAAGGGUUGUAAACUGCUUUUAUUGACUACUAAUUUUGAAGAGUCAUGAAUAAGAGUAUGGCA
This 462-nucleotide ribosomal RNA is filed under the name uncultured Verrucomicrobium sp. RNAcentral describes it as "bacterial SSU rRNA". It matches the Rfam family "Bacterial small subunit ribosomal RNA", at positions 8 to 481 of the family's 1533-position model. Lineage: Bacteria; Pseudomonadati; Verrucomicrobiota; Verrucomicrobiia; Verrucomicrobiales; Verrucomicrobiaceae. The record is from RNAcentral.